RNAcentral lists this ribosomal RNA (460 nucleotides) under uncultured bacterium. Its description in RNAcentral is "partial 16S ribosomal RNA". It matches the Rfam family "Bacterial small subunit ribosomal RNA", at positions 338 to 795 of the family's 1533-position model. The record is from RNAcentral.
CCUACGGGAGGCAGCAGUGAGGAAUAUUGGUCAAUGGACGCAAGUCUGAACCAGCCAUGCCGCGUGCAGGAAGACGGCUCUAUGGGUUGUAAACUUCUUUUGUACGAGGGUAAACGCAGGUAUGCGUAUCUGUCUGUAUGUAUCGUACGAAUAAGGAUCGGCUAACUCCGUGCCAGCAGCCGCGGUAAUACGGAGGAUUCAAGCGUUAUCCGGAUUUAUUGGGUUUAAAGGGUGCGUAGGCGGUCGGAUAAGUUAGAGGUGAAAGCCCGCGGCUCAACUUCGGAAUUGCUGUUGAUACUGGUCGGCUAGAGAGCAGGUGCGGUAGGCGGAAUGCAUGGUGUAGCAGUGAAAUGCUUAGAUAUCACACAGAACACCGAUUGCGAAGGCAGCUUACCAAGCUACUUCUGACGCUGAGGCACGAAAGCGUGGGGAUCAAACAGGAUUAGAUACCCUAGUAGUC